Molecule: non-coding RNA, 92 nt
Organism: Mycena vulgaris
Lineage: Eukaryota; Fungi; Basidiomycota; Agaricomycetes; Agaricales; Mycenaceae
Source: the annotation of a GenBank genome assembly
GUCUUUGUGGGGUAGUGAACCCGCUCCCAGCUGCUUCAAAUGCUCACCGAACGUUCCCGGGGGUGACGGUGGUUCGAAUCCACCCGAAGACA